CGGGGCGUAGCGCAGUUUGGUAGCGCACCACGCUGGGGGUGUGGGGGUCGUGGGUUCGAAUCCCGCCGCCCCGACCA
Molecule: transfer RNA, 77 nt
Filed under: Methyloprofundus sp.
Lineage: Bacteria; Pseudomonadati; Pseudomonadota; Gammaproteobacteria; Methylococcales; Methylococcaceae
Also listed under: 1 other name
Description: tRNA-Pro
Rfam family: tRNA
About the family: Transfer RNA (tRNA) molecules are approximately 80 nucleotides in length. Their secondary structure includes four short double-helical elements and three loops (D, anti-codon, and T loops).
Source: RNAcentral